AUGAAAUUUACAUUUUCUUUUUUUAAAAAUUCACUCAAAAUUAGCAUGACAAUCAAUGGAAACCUAGUUAAUGACUAAAAUAAUAAUAAAAAAUAGAUGCGGUAUACAUAAACCUUAAUUAUUAUAAAGGCUUUUAAAGUAUGUAACUAUUAAAGGCCCAGUAUUAUGCAGAAUUUCCUUUCUGCACAUUUCUGUUCUUCCAAUGGGGUACUGCUAAUAGAAGAAGUCCAAAAAAAAAAAAAAAGAGCGAGAACAAUAAAACACCCAGUUGAUUUUUUUGGGGAAUAAGUAAAUGUUCUACAGGUGUAUGCAAAACCACCUGUUUCAAAAACUUCUGAAUUGUUCCACAAUUUUUAUUAUUUAGCAACCCCCAGCCGAGCCCAGCCCCUAACCUGGCGACCCACCCAAGUGAAGCUCCACCCACUUCGUUACAAGACCACGCCCACGUUUGUUCUGCUGAAUUACCGCUGCAAUGGCUGCUGGGAAAUGAAAGCUUUUUGCUCUUGUCCGCUAUCAAUCAAUUCUGAGCACGUGUCCAUUUUCUCACAGACAUGGGGAACAGAGCUGCGUGGCUUCAUUUUAUUUUUGCUUGAAAAAUCCCUGCGGUAUUUGCCAAAGUUGUAGUCUGCGCAAACCAGUUUGUGAAGGAGUCCUUUGAAAAUCACCAACACUGGAGGUUUUACCAAAAGACUUCUACCAAAGGAAGGUUCUGCUCCUACUGUUCCACAAAUCUGUAGAUGACGGCGAUAUGACAGACAUCCUGUCCUCCACUCCAUUCACUCCGUUCGGGAUCUUGGUGAAGUCGUCUUUGCCCAGGGCCUUCUGGCACACAGAAAAGACAUGCCCCUGGCCCCCCACUCACCAUCCCUGCGUGCAUCAGCCACCACCUUGGCAGCAGAUUUGCUCAUGACAUGGACCACGUAGAGGGGGCAGUUGACAACGUGGGCAAUGGUGAUCGCUCGCUGCGUGGCCUCGGCCUCCACCUCCUCUGGCCG
Poecilia latipinna (sailfin molly) is the source of this 995-nucleotide long non-coding RNA. RefSeq lists it as uncharacterized. The record is from RefSeq and is a predicted model, not a curated record. The transcript is spliced from 3 exons. NCBI's taxonomy places the organism in Eukaryota, Metazoa, Chordata, Actinopteri, Cyprinodontiformes, Poeciliidae.